Molecule: ribosomal RNA, 427 nt
Filed under: uncultured bacterium
Lineage: Bacteria
Description: partial 16S ribosomal RNA
Rfam family: Bacterial small subunit ribosomal RNA
Source: RNAcentral
UGGGGAAUAUUGCACAAUGGGCGCAAGCCUGAUGCAGCCAUGCCGCGUGUAUGAAGAAGGCCUUCGGGUUGUAAAGUACUUUCAGCGGGGAGGAAGGCGAUCAGGUUAAUAACCUUGUCGAUUGACGUUACCCGCAGAAGAAGCACCGGCUAACUCCGUGCCAGCAGCCGCGGUAAUACGGAGGGUGCAAGCGUUAAUCGGAAUUACUGGGCGUAAAGCGCACGCAGGCGGUCUGUCAAGUCGGAUGUGAAAUCCCCGGGCUCAACCUGGGAACUGCAUUCGAAACUGGCAGGCUAGAGUCUUGUAGAGGGGGGUAGAAUUCCAGGUGUAGCGGUGAAAUGCGUAGAGAUCUGGAGGAAUACCGGUGGCGAAGGCGGCCCCCUGGACAAAGACUGACGCUCAGGUGCGAAAGCGUGGGGAGCAAACA